CCCUUAGAUGUUCUGGGCCGCACACGCGCUACACUGAAGGAGGCAGCGUGUACUCCUGGAUCGAAAGAUUUGGGUAACCCGCGAAUCUCCUUCGUGCUAGGGAUUGAGGUUUGCAAUUAUCCUUCAUGAACCAGGAAUUCCCAGUAAGUGCAAGUCAUAAGCUUGCGCUGACUACGUCCCUGCCCUUUGUACACACCGCCCGUCGCUACUACCGAUUGAAUGAUUUAGUGAGGACUUCGGACUGGGACCGAUGCGGCUUUCGGGCUGCGUCGGUAUUCUGGAAAGAUGUCCAAACUGUAUCAUUUAGAGGAAGUAAAAGUCGUAACA
This 327-nucleotide ribosomal RNA is filed under the name uncultured eukaryote. RNAcentral's name for it is "partial 18S ribosomal RNA". It matches the Rfam family "Eukaryotic small subunit ribosomal RNA", at positions 1470 to 1796 of the family's 1831-position model. The record is from RNAcentral.